Molecule: ribosomal RNA, 224 nt
Filed under: uncultured bacterium
Lineage: Bacteria
Description: partial 16S ribosomal RNA
Rfam family: Bacterial small subunit ribosomal RNA
Source: RNAcentral
UGGGCGUGAGGAGUGCGUAGGCGGUUUGGUGAAGUUGGAAGUAAGAGCCCGGGGAAUAACCUCGGAAUUGCUUUCGAAACUACUAAUGUAGAGUGUAGUAGGGGAUGAUGGAAUUCGUAGUGUAGAGGUGCCAUUCUUACAUAUUAGGAGGAACACCGGUGGCGAAGGCGGUCAUCUGGGCUACAACUGACGCUAAUGCACGAAAGCGUGGGGAGCAAACAGGA